AAGAGGCACAGGCUUGUACCUAAAUGCACUAGGAGACAUCGCCAACCGCGCUUUUCAAGCAGGGCAACACGUCGACAUAGCAGCAUUGGACAUAUCAAAAGCUUACAAUCGCACCUGGAGGUACGGCACCUAAACGGGAAUAGAAAAUCCCUCCUACAGGUAGGUAACAGUAUACUCACAAGUAAACUUCUAUACGGUGUUGAAAUUUCGUCGAGAGUGUUCGACAGUCUUGUUACAACACUUGCGCCGGUCUACAACAAAAUGGUGCGAAAUUGCUCUGGACUACUGCCAAGUACCCCCGCAAUUAGCAGCUGCGUUGAAGCCGGAACCCUUCCAUUCGACGCAAUAGCAGCAACCUCGAUAAUACAGAGAACCGUUGGAAUACUGGAGAAAACGACAGGGAACUACGACCCAACCGAACAAAUAACUACUAAGAUUUAUAAUGAAUUUCCAACUGCCGCACACCCCCCGAUAUACAGGUUACAUUAUAUAUGGGAUCGCCGAUGGGAUCAAGAUAAACCCAACAUCGACUGGGCGAUCAAAGACAAAGUUAAAGCAGGAGACCCUCCCCAAAAAACAGUCGCAAUUUUCACAGAAAAUCACAGUCGAAAGUACACACAUCAUACGGCUAUCUACACCGACGGAUCCAAAAAUGAGUAUGGAGUAGGAAUUGGAAUUGCGCAACAUCAAUAUGGAACCUUCUAUCGACUACCAAAUGCUUACUCCAUCAUCUCAGCAGAAGCAGCAGCCAUACACACUGCACUAACCAAACAAACGACGAACCCCAACCACCCAAUCGUGAUUUACACUGAUUCCGCUAGCGUACUCCAAGCCUUGGAAAAAGGAUCCAGUAAGCACCCCUGGAUACAAGCCAUUGAACUAGCAUGCAACCGUAACACUUUGUUGGGUGCCUGGCCACUGCGGGAUCGCCGGCAAUAACGAAGCUGAUCAUCUAGCAGCUACCGGACGUAGAGGAACCUUACUAACGAGAUAUGUAUCGGGUCCGGACAUUAAGUGAAAUUCUUCCAAAUCCAUAAGAGAGGAAGUUUUAAGAAAAUGGACAAUAAAUCGAUCCGUGUUUCUUCGUAAAAUAAAAGCAAACUUCGAAAAAUGGACUGAUAGAAAAGUAAGAAAGGAUCAACAAAUCCUAUCUCGACUUAAAACUGGCCAUACUCUCUUAACACACAAGGAACUCUACCUCAACGGGAGACCAGCUCAAUGUGAUACCUGUGCGGUUCAACUGACAGUGGAGCAUGCUUUACUCCGAUGUCCCAUCUACCACAAUGCAAGACAAAACCUUCUAUGCUUUCUAAAGGAUACGGAGAUGUAUAAACUAAUUUAAAAAAAGAAAAACAAACUAGAUUAAAAUGAAAUGUAAACGAAAAACCAAAUUCCAGAGUGGCGAAUGAAUAACAACUUAAAGCCACUCUUAAAUAAACCAAACAAUCAAUCAAUUAGUUAUCAGUCAAACGGUUAUGAAACUUUCAAAUCUUUCGUUUCAAAGUUACAUCUUUCUUUUCAAAAUGAAUUCUUUCAUUUUGAAGAGUAAUGAGAGGGUAUUGUAACCGCUGGUUACAAUGUUGAUUGUCGGCUUCGAAAAGCAUACUCUAGAUUAGCUCAAUUAAUUCCAACAAUCCUAAGUCUUACCCUAGGUAUAUUGUCAGCUGUGUGAGUGGUAGUCCUCGAAGUCUGACGUUUACGUCUGGGACUGAGGAGUCACUCACGCGGGAGCACUCUUAACUAGGGUAACUCAAUCACAACGGUUUGAGCGAAUGACGUCGCGCAACAGGUCAUUCAUCGCUGUUGCAGCAAUGGGAAGGGCUGCCAGGUUUGAACAAUGUAAAUGUCAGAUCGGGUGAUAUCGCGAAAAUUGAAGUUUUCUCGGUAUCAUCCGACUUUAGCCAUACUCAGCUACCGCCAAGAACAUUCUUUCUGCUCCCAACGCCUGAAGAAAUCAGAAGUGCGCGCGGUUUUACUAAAAUUAAUAUCAGAUUAGCAGAUUAAAAAUGAGGCGAAUAUACGUAAUGAUAAUAAAAUCGGGUCAAGUGAAUUAAAAUGUGUUAGUACGUGUUACCAAUACGAAAAGCAAGCCAUGGAAAGCACGGAAUAUACAAUUUAAAAAAGAGUCAAAAAGGUAAAAUUCUAAAAUGAAACGGAUAAAACGUUGGUGUAGAUUAAGGUUGUAAAACACGCGACACCCAAGCUAAUUUCUACUGGGCAGGUCCCCAGUGGACCUUUUUAUUUCCGAAGAUUCGAAGAUUAUUUUCACAGCAGAGAUUCCUCGACCGCCUACUACGCAGCGGACAGAUUACGAUCGGGAGUGCCGUGAGUCCCUGCAACCAGAACCGAAGGUUGGACGUGCUGGACAAUCCGUCAUCAUAUUGUCAUCAGCAUCUUCAACAAGGAUCGGUAACCAGUUCGUUUCCGGUCAGUACCACAACCACGAUAAUCGAGCCCCGGAAGGAUCGAAGCGUCAUAUAUAAGUGGUCACAGAUCCGCCAUUGCUGUUUUCGUCGGCUAUACGCUAGGCCGCCAUCGCACACUCUGCACCAACAAAUAAAAUCCGCAAGUAAAAAUAGGAUAAUGUGACGUCACAUAUAUUUAAGUAAAUGUUAGGGUAAAAUAAAUUGUACAUAUAAUUAAGAAUUGAGAUUCUUUCGAGAGCAACAUUGUCCGUACAUUUACACCACAAUUUGGUAUCGAUCCUCGGACUCGAAAGGAGUCGUCAGCCCUCGUCUUCGGGUGUUCUACGAGAAAGAAAAUUCAAGGUUUCACUUGCGAGUGUCGUGAUACAUAGCGCAUUCCUUUUGGGUCUCUUACCUUAGUUGCCAGCCGCUAUGAAUGGUCCGUUUUCCCGUAGUUCCCAAAGCGAAUGAGUCCCGUGGUGAGUAUGUGUACGCAUAAAACGAGUACCAGCAUAAUUCCCCUCCAACCACCCACUGAACUAGUCUAGAGGUUACACUUUCUAUCUCCGCCUACACACAACCUCACACUUUCGGUACCUUGCAAAAACCAAUUGAACUGCAACCUCAAAGAAUUGUUUACAUCAUUGCAUUCAAGUUGAUCAAUUGCACCCGAAUGCAUUUGAGUGUUGGGCUCUAAAUGAAGCAACUCCUCAAUUCUCCCUGGAUUUAGGGUUAAAACUUUUUGAAAUAUUCUUAAUUAACUAUUCCCCUCUGAUGUUAUUCUAAAUUUUCUUUGCAUUACAUUUGUUUGUUGUUUCUGAGAAUCCGUUCUCUUCUUG
Topomyia yanbarensis is the source of this 3244-nucleotide long non-coding RNA. RefSeq lists it as uncharacterized. The record is from RefSeq and is a predicted model, not a curated record. The transcript is spliced from 3 exons. NCBI's taxonomy places the organism in Eukaryota, Metazoa, Arthropoda, Insecta, Diptera, Culicidae.